Molecule: ribosomal RNA, 491 nt
Filed under: uncultured bacterium
Lineage: Bacteria
Description: partial 16S ribosomal RNA
Rfam family: Bacterial small subunit ribosomal RNA
Source: RNAcentral
UUGAACGCUGGCGGCAUGCUUUACACAUGCAAGUCGAACGGUAACAGGCCUUCGGGUGCUGACGAGUGGCGAACGGGUGAGUAAUGCAUCGGAACGUACCCAGAGGUGGGGGAUAACGCAGCGAAAGCUGUGCUAAUACCGCAUGUGAUCUGAGGAUGAAAGCGGGGGACCGAGCAGCAAUGUUUGGCCUCGCGCCUUUGGAGCGGCCGAUGUCGGAUUAGCUAGUUGGUGGGGUAAAGGCCUACCAAGGCGACGAUCCGUAGCUGGUCUGAGAGGACGACCAGCCACACUGGGACUGAGACACGGCCCAGACUCCUACGGGAGGCAGCAGUGAGGAAUUUUGGACAAUGGGCGCAAGCCUGAUCCAGCAAUGCCGCGUGCGGGAAGAAGGCCUUCGGGUUGUAAACCGCUUUUGGCAGGAACGAAACGGUGUCCGCUAAUACCGGGCGCUAAUGACGGUACCUGCAGAAUAAGCACCGGCUAACUACGUG